GAUGAACGCUAGCUACAGGCUUAACACAUGCAAGUCGAGGGGUAACAAGAGAAAAGCUUGCUUUUCUUGUUGACGACCGGCGCACGGGUGAGUAACGCGUAUCCAACCUGCCUAUAACUAGGGAAUAACCUUGCGAAAGUAAGACUAAUACCCUAUGAUUUCCUUUGAUGACAUCAGAUUAGGAAUAAAGAUUUAUCGGUUAUAGAUGGGGAUGCGUCUGAUUAGCGUGUUGGCGGGGUAACGGCCCACCAAGGCAACGAUCAGUAGGGGUUCUGAGAAGAAGGUCCCCCACAUUGGAACUAGAACACGGUCCAAACUCCUACGGGAGGCAGCAGUGAGGAAUAUUGGUCAAUGGGCGGAAGCCUGAACCAGCCAAGUAGCGUGCAGGAUGACGGCCCUAUGGGUUGUAAACUGCUUUUAUACAGGAAUAAAGUUAGCCACGUGUGGUUAUUUGUAGGUACUGUAUGAAUAAGGACCGGCUAAUUCCGUGCCAGCCGCCGCGGUAA
This 506-nucleotide ribosomal RNA is filed under the name uncultured bacterium. Its description in RNAcentral is "partial 16S ribosomal RNA". It matches the Rfam family "Bacterial small subunit ribosomal RNA", at positions 28 to 523 of the family's 1533-position model. The record is from RNAcentral.